UGGGGAAUAUUGCACAAUGGGCGCAAGCCUGAUGCAGCAACGCCGCGUGAGGGACGACGGCCUUCGGGUUGUAAACCUCUUUAGUAGGGAAGAAGCGAAAGUGACGGUACCUGCAGAAAAAGCACCGGCUAACGACGUGCCAGCAGCCGCGGUAAUACGUAGGGUGCGAGCGUUGUCCGGAAUUAUUGGGCGUAAAGAGCUCGUAGGCGGUCUGUCGCGUCCGCUGUGAAAACCCGAGGCUCAACCUCGGGCCCGCAGUGGGUACGGGCAGACUAGAGUGCGGUAGGGGAGAAUGGAAUUCCUGGUGUAGCGGUGGAAUGCGCAGAUAUCAGGAGGAACACCGAUGGCGAAGGCAGUUCUCUGGGCCCGUAACUGACGCUGAGGAGCGAAAGCGUGGGGAGCGAACAGGAUUAGAUACCCUGGUAGUCCACGCCGUAAACGUUGGGCGCUAGAUGUGGGGACCAUUCCACGGUUUCCGUGUCGCAGCUAAC
Molecule: ribosomal RNA, 491 nt
Filed under: uncultured bacterium
Lineage: Bacteria
Description: partial 16S ribosomal RNA
Rfam family: Bacterial small subunit ribosomal RNA
Source: RNAcentral